Molecule: non-coding RNA, 37 nt
Filed under: Mycobacterium tuberculosis
Lineage: Bacteria; Bacillati; Actinomycetota; Actinomycetes; Mycobacteriales; Mycobacteriaceae
Source: RNAcentral
CCGGCAACAAUCGCGCCGGCCCGCGCGGAUGACUCCG